RNAcentral lists this ribosomal RNA (987 nucleotides) under uncultured bacterium. RNAcentral describes it as "bacterial SSU rRNA". It matches the Rfam family "Bacterial small subunit ribosomal RNA", at positions 62 to 1056 of the family's 1533-position model. The record is from RNAcentral.
UCGAGCGAGAAGCGUUGGUUCCGUAAGGUUCCGACGUGGAAAGCGGCGAACGGGUGCGUAACACGUGAGAAACCUGCCCCCCAGACCGGGAUAGCCCAGGGAAACUUGGAUUAAUACCGGAUACUCUCUUUGGAUCGCAUGAUCCGUUGAGGAAAUGGUCCGCUGCUGGGGGAUGGUCUCGCGGCCUAUCAGGUAGUUGGUGAGGUAACGGCUCACCAAGCCGAAGACGGGCAGCUGGUCUGAGAGGACGAUCAGCCACACUGGAACUGAGACACGGUCCAGACUCCUACGGGAGGCAGCAGCAGGGAAUAUUGCACAAUGGGCGAAAGCCUGAUGCAGCGACACCGCGUGCGGGAUGAAGGCCUUCGGGUUGUAAACCGCUUUCAGGAGGGAAGAAAAUGACGGUACCUCCAGAAGAAGGCCCGGCCAACUACGUGCCAGCAGCCGCGGUAAUACGUAGGGGCCAAACGUUGUCCGGAAUUAUUGGGCGUAAAGGGCUCGUAGGCGGUUCAACAAGUCGGUCGUGAAAGCCCGGGGCUCAACUCCGGGAUGCCGGUCGAAACUGUUGUGACUUGAGUUCGGUAGAGGUGAGUGGAAUUCUCAGUGUAGCGGUGGAAUGCGCAGAUAUUGAGAGGAACACCAUUAGCGAAGGCGGCUCACUGGGCCGAUACUGACGCUGAGGAGCGAAAGCGUGGGGAGCAAACAGGAUUAGAUACCCUGGUAGUCCACGCCGUAAACGAUGAACACUAGGUGUAGCGGAUUUAUUCAUGUCUGCUGUGCCGUAGCUAACGCAUUAAGUGUUCCGCCUGGGGAGUACGGCCGCAAGGCUAAAACUCAAAGGAAUUGACGGGGCCCCGCACAAGCGGCGGAGCAUGCGGCUUAAUUCGAUGCAACCCGAAGAACCUUACCUGGGUUUGACAUCAUGGGUCUAGCUGUGGAAACACAGUGUGCUUACGCGCCCAUGACAGGUGGUGCAUGGCUGUCGUC